UUACCACUGAAGGAGACUCUUAGAUAAACAAUCAUGCUCUUUCAACAGAAAAGACUGCUGUCGCUGCUUUGUAGCUGCUUUCUCUACCACACCUGUUCACUGACACGGUGUCACACUCAGCGUGCCUUGGGACCCUCCUUUUGUUUCUCAUCAAGAAUACAGUAUAUCAUGUUCAAAGAAGACUUCCAUGGAACCAAACAGACCUGUGUGAGAGAGCAAAUUAGUUCAGGCCGCACAUCCACAUGUGCUAGAGACAAAAUUCAUAGCCACUGUUGGUCAUCCCAGGUUUCCAAAAUGAUGUGAUCCCACCACACCUUGCUGGUUUUCCUGCAUCAGAAGCGACAGUCCACCAAAAGACAUACCAUGGUAAUACUGGUAUUCACCAUAUCCGUACCAUGUGAACUGAAUGACUGGUCAUUGACCCUCAAGGUCAGCUGUCUUCAACAUGUCACAAAGUUCUGCACAAAUUUUAUUCAGCAUCCCAUCCAGUCACCUAUUCCACUGCAUAACUAUUUGUCCUGCAAUAAGGAGUAGAACCACAUCAACAUAGUCCCAUUGUUCCAUAUCUUUCACCCAGUUUCGCAGGGAACAAGUGAAGGGAGAUGUGAUCAGGAACUGCCAUUGCAAAUGCAUGAAGGCGGGGAAAUGUGCCAACAAUACAGAGCAAAGCAGUUCCUAGAAUGUCUCCUGUGAUGCACAGAACCCUGGGAUGCUGCUCCUGAAAUGGCAGCACUAUAUCAUGCAACAGCAGAGGUCAUGAGAUAUGGGUAUAUGCAUAUACACAGUAUUAUACUUGUGUCCAGCACAUCAUAUAUGGACACGCAGUAUGGGUAUGGGGAGCAUGUGCAGGCAUGAACAUGGUCCAGUAACUGAGUAUAUGCACCAUUGUAGAGAUAGCCUAAAUCACACAUGCUCCUGGAACAGGGGUUGGGGCGAAGGGGUGUCACACUUGGACAAGAGGUGCUUAUUGGCCCCUUCACUCCUGUUCAUGGAAUGAGUCUUGAAUUUGAGAUAUUAGUAGACAGAGUCCAGACCAGUAGAGAUUGUAUGACUUGCAAUGAUUUUAAGAAGAGAUAGAUGGUGUUUAGGGAAGAAAAACGGGUACUGUACAUGCUGCAUGAACCCUUACACAUUCAGUUUAAAAUAGAUUUAUACAUUCUUUUUGUGUCAGAAUCUUGCAUUUAAAAAACAUUGUAACAAAAAUAAUCUACAUUUGUAAAUUGUACUUUCAAGAUAAAGAAAUUGCGCUACAGUACAUGUAUGAGGUGAACUGAAAAAUACUAUUUUGAACUUGGUUCUAGCCCACGAAAGCUUAUGCCCAAAUAAAUUUGUUAGUCUCUAAGGUGCAACAAGG
Molecule: long non-coding RNA, 1354 nt
Organism: Dermochelys coriacea (leatherback sea turtle)
Lineage: Eukaryota; Metazoa; Chordata; Testudines; Dermochelyidae
Exons: 3
Source: RefSeq, a predicted model, not a curated record